AGUGAACGCUGGCGGUAGGCCUAACACAUGCAAGUCGAACGGCAGCACAGUAAGAGCUUGCUCUUACGGGUGGCGAGUGGCGGACGGGUGAGGAAUACAUCGGAAUCUACUUUUUCGUGGGGGAUAACGUAGGGAAACUUACGCUAAUACCGCAUACGACCUACGGGUGAAAGCAGGGGAUCUUCGGACCUUGCGCGAUUGAAUGAGCCGAUGUCGGAUUAGCUAGUUGGCGGGGUAAAGGCCCACCAAGGCGACGAUCCGUAGCUGGUCUGAGAGGAUGAUCAGCCACACUGGAACUGAGACACGGUCCAGACUCCUAUGGGAGGCAGCAGUGGGGAAUAUUGGACAAUGGGCGCAAGCCUGAUACAGCCAUACCGCGUGGGUGAAGAAGGCCUUAGGGUUGUAAAGCCCUUUUGUUGGGAAAGAAAAGCAGCAGGUUAAUACCCCGCUGUUCUGACGGUACCCAAAGAAUAAGCACCGGCUAACUUCGUG
Molecule: ribosomal RNA, 492 nt
Filed under: uncultured bacterium
Lineage: Bacteria
Description: partial 16S ribosomal RNA
Rfam family: Bacterial small subunit ribosomal RNA
Source: RNAcentral